RNAcentral lists this ribosomal RNA (483 nucleotides) under uncultured bacterium. RNAcentral describes it as "partial 16S ribosomal RNA". It matches the Rfam family "Bacterial small subunit ribosomal RNA", at positions 30 to 507 of the family's 1533-position model. The record is from RNAcentral.
AUUGAACGCUGGCGGCAGGCCUAACACAUGCAAGUCGAGCGGAUGAAGGGAGCUUGCUCCUGGAUUCAGCGGCGGACGGGUGAGUAAUGCCUAGGAAUCUGCCUGGUAGUGGGGGAUAACGUCCGGAAACGGGCGCUAAUACCGCAUACGUCCUGAGGGAGAAAGUGGGGAUCUUCGGACCUCACGCUAUCAGAUGGGCCUAGGUCGGAUUAGCUAGUUGGUGGGGUAAAGGCCUACCAAGGCGACGAUCCGUAACUGGUCUGAGAGGAUGAUCAGUCACACUGGAACUGAGACACGGUCCAGACUCCUACGGGAGGCAGCAGUGGGGAAUAUUGGACAAUGGGCGAAAGCCUGAUCCAGCCAUGCCGCGUGUGUGAAGAAGGUCUUCGGAUUGUAAAGCACUUUAAGUUGGGAGGAAGGGCAGUAAGUUAAUACCUUGCUGUUUUGACGUUACCAACAGAAUAAGCACCGGCUAACUUCGUG